This 252-nucleotide ribosomal RNA is filed under the name uncultured bacterium. Its description in RNAcentral is "partial 16S ribosomal RNA". It matches the Rfam family "Bacterial small subunit ribosomal RNA", at positions 524 to 776 of the family's 1533-position model. The record is from RNAcentral.
UACGGAGGAUGCGAGCGUUAUCCGGAUUUAUUGGGUUUAAAGGGUGCGUAGGCGGGAUGCCAAGUCAGCGGUAAAAAUGCGGUGCUCAACGCCGUCGAGCCGUUGAAACUGGCGUUCUUGAGUGGGCGAGAAGUAUGCGGAAUGCGUGGUGUGGCGGUGAAAUGCAUAGAUAUCACGCAGAACUCCGAUUGCGAAGGCAGCAUACCGGCGCCCUACUGACGCUGAGGCACGAAAGCGUGGGUAUCGAACAGG